UACGUAGGUGGCCAGCGUUGUCCGGAUUUCCUGGGCGUAAAGAGCGCGCAGGCGGUCGAUCAAGUCGCGUGUGAAAGCCCCCGGCUCAACUGGGGAGGGUCACGCGAUACUGAUCGACUCGAAGGCAGGAGAGGGUAGUGGAAUUCCCGGUGUAGUGGUGAAAUGCGUAGAUAUCGGGAGGAACACCAGUGGCGAAGGCGACUACCUGGCCUGUUCUUGACGCUGAGGCGCGAAAGCUAGGGGAGCAAACGGG
RNAcentral lists this ribosomal RNA (253 nucleotides) under uncultured bacterium. Its description in RNAcentral is "partial 16S ribosomal RNA". It matches the Rfam family "Bacterial small subunit ribosomal RNA", at positions 524 to 776 of the family's 1533-position model. The record is from RNAcentral.